CUAAAAGAUUUGUUCAAUA
RNAcentral lists this small nuclear RNA (19 nucleotides) under Arabidopsis thaliana (thale cress). RNAcentral's name for it is "snRNA_15359". The record is from RNAcentral. Lineage: Eukaryota; Viridiplantae; Streptophyta; Magnoliopsida; Brassicales; Brassicaceae.